GACGAACGCUGGCGGCGUGCUUAACACAUGCAAGUCGAACGGAAAGGCCCUGCUUUUGUGGGGUGCUCGAGUGGCGAACGGGUGAGUAACACGUGAGUAACCUGCCCUUGACUUUGGGAUAACUUCAGGAAACUGGGGCUAAUACCGGAUAGGAGCUCCUGCUGCAUGGGGGGGGUUGGAAAGUUUCGGCGGUUGGGGAUGGACUCGCGGCUUAUCAGCUUGUUGGUGGGGUAGUGGCUUACCAAGGCUUUGACGGGUAGCCGGCCUGGGAGGGUGACCGGGCACAUUGGGACUGCGAUACGGACCAGACUCCUACGGGAGGCAGCAGUGGGGAAUAUUGCACAACGGGCGGAAGCCUGAUGCAGCAACGCCGCGUGCGGGAUGCCGGCCUUCGGGUUGUAAACCGCUUUCGCCUGUGACGAAGCGUGAGUGACGGUAAUGGGUAAAGAAGCACCGGCUAACUACGUG
This 468-nucleotide ribosomal RNA is filed under the name uncultured bacterium. Its description in RNAcentral is "partial 16S ribosomal RNA". It matches the Rfam family "Bacterial small subunit ribosomal RNA", at positions 28 to 507 of the family's 1533-position model. The record is from RNAcentral.